RNAcentral lists this ribosomal RNA (365 nucleotides) under uncultured Bicosoecida. Its description in RNAcentral is "SSU rRNA". It matches the Rfam family "Eukaryotic small subunit ribosomal RNA", at positions 585 to 972 of the family's 1831-position model. Lineage: Eukaryota; Bigyra; Bicosoecida. The record is from RNAcentral.
CCAGCUCCAAUAGCGUAUAUUAAAGUUGUUGCAGUUAAAAAGCUCGUAGUUGAAUUUCUGAGCUGUUCUGGUGUUUCCGCUUCGGUGUGAAACGCCGGUCAGUUCAUCCUUGUGAAGUAGUGCGUGAAAGCGUAUUAUUUCACAUCCUUUACUGUGAAAAAAUUAGAGUGUUUAAAGCAGGCUUGUUGCUUGAAUACAUUAGCAUGGAAUAAUAAGAUAGGACUUUGGUGCUAUUUUGUUGGUUGCGCAUUGAAGUAAUGGUUAAUAGGGACAGUUGGGGGUAUUCAUAUUUAACUGUCAGAGGUGAAAUUCUUGGAUUUGUUAAAGAUGAACAACUGCGAAAGCAUUUACCAAGGAUGUUUUCA